Long non-coding RNA from Mercenaria mercenaria, 343 nucleotides. RefSeq lists it as uncharacterized. Lineage: Eukaryota; Metazoa; Mollusca; Bivalvia; Venerida; Veneridae. The record is from RefSeq and is a predicted model, not a curated record. The transcript has 4 exons.
GGGAAAAGAGCAAGCAAGUACCAAGAUUGCACUGUUUGUUACCAGUAUACAGAGAAUGUUACCAAAAGCUCGAGUGUUGUACUGCAGUGCCACAGGAUUGACAGAUGUAAAGAACAUGGCAUUUAUGGAAAGACUUGGACUCUGGGGUGAAGGAGCUCCGUACAAGAAUUUUGAGCAGUUUCUUGACUCUGUACAGAAGAAAGGUUUAGGUAUGGCUGAGAUGUUGGCAAUGGAGAUGAAAUGAGCUGGAAUGCACGUGUCGAGAGGUCUGAGUUACAAGCAAGCUGAGUUUCUCACAAUAGAAGCUACAUUGACGAAGGAGCAGGUGAAGAUGUAUGACACA